Molecule: long non-coding RNA, 1310 nt
Organism: Ruditapes philippinarum (Manila clam)
Lineage: Eukaryota; Metazoa; Mollusca; Bivalvia; Venerida; Veneridae
Exons: 2
Source: RefSeq, a predicted model, not a curated record
UUUCAUAUUUUUUUAUGCCCCCGCCAUGUAAUGGCCGGGGCAUAUAGUGUUACCCUGUUCCGUCAUUCCGUCCUUCCGUCCUUCCAUCCUUCCGUCAUUCUGUCAUUCCGUCAUCAUCAGUUUCCGUUCAUUAUCUUAAGAACGGUUGCACACAUUCAACUCAAAUUUGACAUAUGGAUAUGUCAUGAGAAAAUACAGGUCAAGUUCGAAUUUGGUCAUGGUUCGAUGAUUUUUGGCAGAGUUAUGCCCCUUUUACUUUGAAAAUAAUAUGAAAUUUCAGUUUCCGUUCAUUAUCUCCCCAACGGUACAACACAUUCAACUCAAACUUGACAUAUGGAUAUGUCAUGAGAAAAUACAGAUCAAGUUCGAAUUUGGUCAUGGUUCCAUGAUUUUUGGCAGAGUUAUGCCCCUUUUACUUUGAAAAUAAUAUGAAAUUUUCAGUUUCCGUUCAUUAUCUCCCCAAAGGUACAACACAUUUAACUCAAAUUUGACAUAUGGAUAUGUCUUGAGAAAAUACAGGUUAAAUUUGAAUUUGGUCAUGGUUCGAUGAUUUUUGGCAGAGUUAUGCCCCUUUUACUUUGAAAAUAAUAUGAAAUUUUCAGUUUCCGUUCAUUAUCUCCCCAAAGGUACAACACAUUCAACUCAAACUUGACAUAUGGAUAUGUCAUAAAAAAGAUACAGGUCAAGUUUGAAUUUGGUCAUGGUUCGAUGAUUUUUGGCAGAGUUAUGCCCCUUUUACUUUGAAAACAAUAUGAAAUUUUCAGUUUCCGUUCAUUAUCUCCCCAAAAGUACAACACAUUCAACUCAAACUUGACAUAUGGAUGCGUCAAAUGAAUGCGCAGGUCAAGUUCAAAUUUGGUCAUGGUUCAAUGAUUUUUGGCAGAGUAAUGCCCCUUUCACUUUGAAAGUAAUAUGAAAUUUUCAGUUUCCGUUUAUUAUCUCCCCAAUGGUACAACACAUUCAACUCAAAUUUGACAUAUGGAUAUGUUUUUGGAAUGCCCAGGCCAAGUUCGAAUUUGGACAUGGUUCAAUAAUUUUUGGCAGAGUAAUGCCCCUUUCACUUUGAAAAUAAUAUGAAAUUUACAGUUUCUGUUCAUUAUCUACCCAACAGUGUUACAUAUUCAACUUAAAUUUGACAUAUGGAUAUGUCAAAGGAAUGGGCAGGUCAAGUUGGAAUUUUGUCAUGGUUUGAUGAUUUUUUGGCAGAGUUAUGUCCCUUUCACUUUGAAAAUAAUAUAGAUACAUCUUAGGAAUAAGCAGUUUAAGUUAGAAUUUGGUCGUGGUUCAAUGAUUUUAGACAAACUUAUCUU